GUAGGGAGCUAGCGUUACUCGGAUUUACUGGGCGUAAAGCGAGUGUAGGCGGUCAGGUAAGUCAGGGGUGAAAUCCCUCAGCCUAACUGAGGAAUUGCCUUUGAUACUGCUUGACUUGAGGACAGGAGAGGAAAGUGGAAUUCCCGGUGUAGCGGUGGAAUGCGUAGAUAUCGGGAGAAACACCAGAGGCGAAGGCGGCUUUCUGGACUGUUCCUGACGCUGAGACUCGAAAGCUAGGGGAGCAAACAGGGAUUAGAUACCCUGGUAGUCCUAGCUGUAAACGAUGGAUACUAGAUUUUGCCCAGAUUGGGCUUGGUCGAAGCUAACGCGUUAAGUAUCCCGGCCUGGGGGUAGUACGGUCGCAAGGCUG
RNAcentral lists this ribosomal RNA (370 nucleotides) under uncultured organism. RNAcentral's name for it is "partial 16S ribosomal RNA". It matches the Rfam family "Bacterial small subunit ribosomal RNA", at positions 527 to 896 of the family's 1533-position model. The record is from RNAcentral.